Pogoniulus pusillus (Red-fronted tinkerbird) is the source of this 483-nucleotide long non-coding RNA. RefSeq lists it as uncharacterized. NCBI's taxonomy places the organism in Eukaryota, Metazoa, Chordata, Aves, Piciformes, Lybiidae. The transcript has 4 exons. The record is from RefSeq and is a predicted model, not a curated record.
AGGGGGCGGCCGCGAGGAGCCACCGCGCGCGAGCGGGCGCAGCGCGAGCGCUCCUGCGCCCCUGUGAGGCGGCGCCAUGCCGGGAGAGGGCCGGAGGAGAAAGCCUUGGCCCGGCGGGUUUCUGCCUUUCCUUCUCCAGGGAGCACUGGGCUUUUCCUUCCCAAUAGGAAGAGAUUGUUGAGUAAGACAUACAGUGCAAAGGAAGAAGAGUCCAGCUGCCCUAUCUACUUUGGGAUUUGUUUCUUGUGCUCUCAGGAACUGCAGGUGAUCACCCUUUUUUUGAGGCCGACCCUGUAGCAAGACCAAAAUUCAUCUCUCUUCAAGGAUAUGGAAGGCCCUGCCAUACUCUUGUUUUCUUUGUUGUACUGCUGCAUCCAGGAGAAAGGUCAGAUCCUUAACGUGGCUUAGUCCAUGUCUACACAAGCACUUACAUGGCAGGACUAAGAAGAAGAAACAGGACGGCAAACGAGGCAGGACUGUGUU